Molecule: ribosomal RNA, 1560 nt
Filed under: Triticum aestivum (bread wheat)
Lineage: Eukaryota; Viridiplantae; Streptophyta; Magnoliopsida; Poales; Poaceae
Description: partial small subunit ribosomal RNA
Source: RNAcentral
AUGGGCAAUGUACCUGCAAUGCCUGCACAUGUUUUUCAGACAGCUCAAGAGAACCAUGUGGUUGCGGUUGCGGAGGAAACAUUCAGUUUAUGUGACGUGGGUCGUCUGUCUCAAGUUAUCAGAAAACUGCACCGGUCCAUUGAGCAGCACCCCCACUCAAAGCAGGCAGACACGACGUGCUGUGUCUCGGCUGAAAGGAGAAGCAAUGACAGUUAUCCAUCGUCUGAUGAUGGUGAUGUUCCAGAGUGGCGCCUUCAUUUUUCCAACCGGGCCAAUCCCCUCCCCGUAACCGACAAGCGGCAGCUUCAUUAUCGAUCACAUAUGUAUAUGGAAACUGAGGGCCUUGAAUGUAUCUUACCUGACCAUAUGGCCCAACUAGAAGACAUUGUACGCCACCACACACUGGCUGUUGGUCCUGGUUACGAGGAAGAGCUACUCCAACACCUCCCACACAGCACAGAUGCGUUGACCAGCCUUUUCAAUGAACUGGAAAUUCGGUUGACCAGUAUUAGUCCUUCUGAAUGUGAAGAUUUUCCCAUCAGGUUGAAAACAUACACCGAAUUGCUCUGUUUGAUUAAAGGGCAGUUAUAUGACGAGAGUAGACCAUUUAGGGAAUUUAAGAUAGGCUACUUUGCACAGUUUGCAAAACACCCUAUAGAAAUUCUCGUGAAAAUAGCACUUCUUCUCAGCAACAUGGAGUGGUCUGUCACUGAGAUUUGUCCAAUGAUGCUUGCAUAUGAGGCAGUUAUGGAUGUUGUUCCUCUUAUCCAAAAAUUAAUUCCCAGUGAAUCUGAUGAUCUCUUACCCGAGAUUAAAAGUAACAUCUGGGAGUCUUUCAGGAAAACAGUUGGCAGUAUGGGGGAUCCUCGGGAUGGUGCCAUUCACUCAGUGACAUGUUCCCUCGUAGACUCAGUGAAGAGUAUCCAUAGUCACAAAGAGUUAGUGCAAUCUUUUGCUCCUGAUGAUGACUGCCACUCGUUUGGAAAUCUUCUGUCUGGCGUGAUUGGAAGGUGGAUAUCUGCACUCGAGAAACAUCCGAUGUCAGAUAGUCGGCGGAAGAACAUUUUCAUGCUGAACAACAUGAGUCAUUUAAAGGGGAAGACAAAUGGUCUGUUAGAUGAUUUGCUGCCUCAGCAACAUCUUGAUUUUGCUUAUCCUGAUUAUUUCAAAUUACUCACAGAUAUCUGGAUCCAGGGUUACCUGGUAGAUGCUUGGAAGCCAGCCUUAUCUUGUCUGAGUUGCAAGUCUUGGUGGGUUAGUCGGCAUUCAUCCUUGGUUAAAUUUACCUCAACAUUCAAUGGGAUUUUUGAUCAUCAGAAAACUUGGGUGGUUCCUGAUCCUGCUCUACGGGAAACUCUAAGAGUCCGUAUAAAGGGGCAUAUUUUGCCAACAUACAGAGCUUUCUUGGUGAAGUAUCCAGAUACUGGGCCGUCUGGUUGUUUGUGUUUGUGGGGAGAUUCAGCACAAGAGAUAUAUAGCGCAGAGAGUUUGGAGCUGGUGGUGGACACGAUAUUUGAAGGGGGAACUGGACAGCCUACUUCUCCUUCCCUUUCUCCUUAG